This 843-nucleotide long non-coding RNA is filed under the name Populus tremula. Its description in RNAcentral is "long non-coding RNA (PTRE_LNC002676)". Lineage: Eukaryota; Viridiplantae; Streptophyta; Magnoliopsida; Malpighiales; Salicaceae. The record is from RNAcentral.
AUGAAUUAAAUUUCAGUAGGUCACCAUUACAUAGUAGGCCAACUACUUGAUUAUACAAGGAAACUAACUAUAUAGGGAAACCAGAAAACUAGAGUGAUCUUAGGAAGUUAGUCAUGGUAAGCUAAAUCUCCCUUUCUAUUUAUGAAAGCAUAUACAACCUGUAUGGUAAGCUAAUUAUGGAUUAUAUUGAUAGUUCAGGCAUCAUAAACAUGUAUAAGGAUCAUCAUCUAAAAUAACAUAUAGGAUUUUUAUCGUAACCAUCCACAGUUAUGUAGACCACACUAUCAGUUUGUGGACACAUACAAAUCUCGACAGAUCAUGGUUUAGGAAAAUACUUAGAAGAAUAAGAAGAAGAAUCAACAAUAUAAGCAUGCAGACCAUUGCAGGAGUCACAUCACAAUCACUAACAAUUUAGCUCAUGCAAAUUUUUAAAAAGUACACAUAUUUAUAGACAAGCCCUCAAGCAUAAACAAAGCUCCACCAGUAUCAAAGAACAUGCCAGUCAAAUAAUUAAGUUACUUACAAAUAUCACAUCAAUGAAAAAGCAUAUGUGUAGGUACUUUAUAGCCCUGCUUACUUUCAUAGUUAGGACUAAUUGACCACAAUUAUCAAAUUAAAACUUUUUCUCACAACUAUCCAUCCAUGGAUUCCAAAAGUAAUCACUAAAGAGCGUCGCACCAAAAACUUUCAACCUAUUGUAAAUAUAGUAAAUCAAUGAUAGGAUUGAUUAUUGUUUUAAAUAGAGUAAAUCAACUAUAGGGCCGUCAGUUAUAGGGCUGAUUGCAGGGCUGAUUUAUAUGCAUUUAAUUAUAGCUUGAUUCUAGGGAUUUAGAUUAAUCCUAG